Molecule: long non-coding RNA, 4762 nt
Organism: Orcinus orca (killer whale)
Lineage: Eukaryota; Metazoa; Chordata; Mammalia; Artiodactyla; Delphinidae
Exons: 2
Source: RefSeq, a predicted model, not a curated record
UUUCGAAUUUAACAUCACAACAAUCCUCUCAUAAAGCCAUUAUUAUCAUGACCAUUUUGUACACAGUGACAGGUAGAUUCUAAGAUCUCAAGCAUCCAAGGAGAAAGAAGGUAAGAAAUAGAGCCUGGAUUUUGGGUCACAUUUUCUGAGCCUCAUUUUCUGAGCUGUGUGACUUUUUACAAGUUCACUUUUCUUUUCCUUUCCUCAUCAGCAAAAUAAGGUAAUGAUAAUUUCUAACAUACAGUAAAACAGUAUUAACUUACACAGCAAGUGAAGAGCAUGUAAGUUAAUGAUAGGCCUAUGAAAGUAUCUAUCCCAUGAUAGAUGCCCAAGAAAAUGAAUUUCCUAUUCCUUACCCAAGGUAGCACAAAUAAUAAAUACCAGAUUAUGACUCAAACCCAGAUUUCCUGACUCCAAGACCAAGUACUAUUUUCCACAUGGUUGACCCAGCCUCCAUUCACAUAUUUAGCUAAAUCCAAAUGCAUGCUAUGGUCAAUCAGAGCCUAUCAGGUCAAGGACAGGGUAGCAGUGAUUUGCCAUACAUUUGUAUGAUUAGAGUUUAUGUGUGUGAAAUUGUGUACAAGCUGCGUCCCUGUCCUUUGAAGUAAAAGGGCUUUGCUUUAGUCUCACAGGCCUCCCCUGAGUCUCAAAGGGCUGGUUCAAGAGUUAAUGAUUAGGAAAUGUGAAGAUGUAGAAACAAAGAAUAGGUGUUGGUCCUGGAAACUGGUAACAAUUUAGACUAUAAAUCCACACCAUCACAGAAUCACCGAACUCCCAGUUCCCUGAAAGAUAUAGAUAAAGGCCUGGCACAUAUUCCUAAGUUGUUUUUACAGGAAGCAGACCUCCAGCAGAUGAAAACUGCUGACCACAAGCACAUAGACCCUAGACCAGUUGAAACCAGAGGGUGAUGGUGCUUGAAACUUCACCUUGAUGCCAACCAAUCCAAGAAUGGUGCACGAGCUGACCACACACCCUGCAGCCCCCUCCCUCAUACUGCCUUUGAAAUCCCAAUUGGAGAGUCUGGGUCUUUUGAGCAUGAGCUGCCCAUUCUCCUUGCUUGGUGCCCUGCAAUAAAAGCUCUACCUUCCUUCACCACAACCUGGUGUCAGUAGCUUGGCUUUACUGUAUGUGGGCAAGCAGACCCAAAUUUGGUUCAGUAACAUGUACAAGAUGCUGUACAUGAGAGAAAGCUGCCAUGGCUUGACCUCUGGAACAUAGGAAGCUGGUUGCAUUUCACCUAUUUUCCCAUUUGUGUUUCUUGGUGGUAUAUUGACCUUUUGUGGACACACAUGCUCUUGUAAAUACCGUGCACUCAGGGUGUUAUAUCUAGACCUGUUUAUCUGCAUAACCAGAGGGAGAUGCACAAUUUUAACAAUGAUGGAUGUUGAGCUUCUGGAGGCCAGUGUUUGACAGUUUCAGUAUCCCACAUAUUCCACUGAGAAUUAGAUUCCAGUGGAAUGAAAUAAGUUUUGAAUAUUUUCUCACAAGUAUGUUCUAUAAGCAUGCCCACUGUUUGGCAGCCACUGUGCUAGACACUGCUGACACAGUGGGCAACAACAAGACAUGAUCUUGCCCUAGAGAAUCUAGCAGCGUUAGUGGAGAAGACAAAAAGCAAAUAUCCACUGCAACAAAUAAUAUGAGGGUGACGUACAGAGAGGAUAUGAGAGCCUACAAUAGGGUAUUUGGUUGGAUCAGAAAGGUCAAAAGAGGCCUCUAGGAUGGAUUGAAGCUUGAAUUGAUAUCUGAAAAAUAAGUAGGAAUAACCUACUUGAAAAGAGGAAGGAAGCACAUUCUAAUAUACUAAACAGAUGAGCAGAGGAACUGUGGCAGGAGGAACACGGUAAGUACAAGGGAUGGAAGAAGUUACAAAGUGACUAGAAUAGGAAGAAUGAAGGGAAUACUUGGUGGAAAAUGAGGGUAACAGAAAUCAAAGGGUCAAAUUGUUCAGAAUCUGUCGUAUAUGUAUUAUAAGAAGGAGGAAGUGUUAUAAUUUGGUUGUUAACUUUGGCUGCAAUAUGAAGACAGAUUGAAGAGGGACUAAUAUGAAAGCCUGGAAUCAUGCAGUAGGAGGUGAUAGAAAUAAGACAACACAAAUGAGAAAUUUUGUAAGUUCAUAAUAGACGAGAUAAAGAGCAGGGAGGGAGAUGGAACUGUCAAGGAUGAAUUCUAGGUUUCUGACUUGUGCAGCUCAGGCAAAUUCUCAGUAAUUGGUCUACCAUCUGCUUAAUAGCACAGUACAGGGAGUGUGCAAUAUCUGAGCCCAUUAGCCCCUCACUCCAAGGUGACAAGUCCCUUGUCCACUGAGCCAGUGCCUCCCCUCCUCAAAGAGGCACUUGAGAUUAAACCCACUAAAUCACAUGCCUUGUUUUCAUCAUUAAAUGCACAGAGUAUAAGUCCCCCCAAGCCUCCAAUGUCCUCUACAGCACCUUUGUAUAAAUGAGAAAAGGGUGACCCUGUGGGUGGAUGCAGUCCCAUGAGGGGGGGUGGGUUUCACCCCUCACUACCUUGCCCAUGCACUGUACACAACCACUCAACCACAGCGCAGUGCCCUCUCCAAACCUCACCUAGGACCUACCCUUCCUCCACAUUCCACACCCUUCCCACAUGUCCCCAAGAACUGACAAACAUCCUUAGACUCUCUAUUUGGGGGGAUAUUUUCCUCUACAUCUUUGAUUUUAAUUUAAAAUGUAGCUCACCAUUUUCAUGUAGCCCUUUCAAAUUGGUCCAAAUAUUUUCUCUUAUCCACACACUGAAAAGCCAGGACUCCCAUUACCAUGGUCUUAUCAUUGCUCUUUCCUGCUCUUUAAAUAAAAAGGCUAACUCCUAAUUCCUUGAAGAUUUUGUGUAUUAUACCAUAGUUGAUAAGCACAUGGACUCUGAAAUGUUACUCUCUGGAUUCAGAUCCAAACUCUCUGCCCUCAUUAGCCCUGAGACCUUUGUCAAGUUACCAAACCUCUCUGUGCCUCGAUGUCUUCAUUUUAUAAUGGAAAAAUAAUUUUACUUAACUCAUGGGAUUACUGAGAAUAUUAAUGAAAUAACUUAUGAAAAGCACUUAAAACAGUGUUUCACAUAUUUUAAGUUAUACCCAAUGCGUUAGGUGGUAUUACUAUUAUUAAUUAGCUAUACCACUAUCUUCCAUGUUGCUAUUCACCAACAAACUCAACAAAUUUCCUGAUUCACUGGACACCUCGUCAUCUGAACCAUCAUCACUCAUCAUGCCAGCUGACUUCAGUACCCACAUAACCAAGCACUCCAGAACCAUAGCUUACCACACUCUUCUCCCAUUGCCGUAUCUUUGGUCAUGUCACCAGCAUACAGAUUCAUUCUCCAAAAGCAUUGAUUCAAACAUUUUCUUUGACAGAAGCCUCCAUUCAACUUUUUUUUUUUUCAUUGUUCUUGCUCUGUUUUCUGACCACACGGGGAACUCCUAUACAGUGAUGCCUAAACUGCUUAUCAAGCUAUCAGUCCUCUCCUCUCUUCACUUCCAUAGUAUAUCAGACUUAGAUUACAGGGUACAUUGUUUCACAAACCUUCUUACUUUUACCCUAAAUUCCCUUGACCAUCUGUGCUUUUGUCAUCUGGCUCUAAACACCAUAGUCCUAUAUCAACCCAACAACACUCGUUUCUUUGCUGGAGAAAAUCACAGGAAGCAGGAAAAAUGAUUUCUUUAAAAUUCAUGAACAACAAUGAAGUAGAUCCUCAACAAUGCACCUGACUUUCCACGACAUUAUUUCAGACAUUAUUUCCACACAGCUUUACUUUCACUAGGCUGCUGGAUUGAUGUAUUAGAAAAUCAGGGAGUUUUUAUCAUUUGGCAUUAUAUUCUCGGCCCUAAGUUUAAUUGAUUUUCUAAUGAUCAAUGAUCAAAUGGGCGGAUACAUCUGUAAAAGAAUUUAUAAAGUGAAAUUUUCUUCACACACGUUAGUGAUGGCUUUAUUAUCAUUAUUACCUUUGCUGGUUUGCAGAUUUAAUGGAUGAUUGGGCCUUUUACUGGGACAAAGGAAGACUGAAUAAGACUGAGUGUGGGAGAGGAGGCACAAGUACAGUUUCCCCAGUGUGAAAUGGGCUCCAGUGGUUAGUGUACAACUAUGAAUGCUCCAGGUUAUGGGGCGCUGGCUGCUGUAAGAACAUAGUUAUCUACCGGAGUGAAGAAGUGCAAGAAAGAGUCCAGGAGAAGCUAGCAGAAAGGGAGCUAGAGCAAAGCAAGAGAUGUAGCUUUAAAAUGAUAUGUAUACAGGGCUUCCCUGGUGGUGCAGUGGUUAAGAAUCCACUUGCCAAUGCAGGGGGCACGGGUUUGAGCCCUGGUCUGGGAAGAUCCCACAUGCCACGGGGCAACUAAGCCCAUGCACCGCAACUACUGAGCCCACACGCCACAGCUACUGAAGCCUGUGUGCCUAGAGCCUGCACUCUGCAACAAGAGAAGCCACCGCAAUGAGAAGCCCACACACUGCAACAAAGAGUAGACCCUGCUCGCUGCAACUAGAGAAAGCCUGUGCAGCAACGAAGACCCAAUGCAGCCAAAAAUAAAUAAAUAAAAAUAAAUAAAUGAAAAAAAUGAUAUGUAUACAUUUCUCUACUUCACAGUGUGAAAGGCUCAGGUCCACAGACCCUGUGACUGCAGCAUGCUGAGUAUCAUCAUUCGGGAGGUGAGGGGGUGAUACUAUCAACAAAAUCUACAAGACACCAAGGUGUAGUGGCUAUGCUAUAGAUUCCCAGUUGCACUUGGAUCAAAUAAAAGGCAAAUGAGCUUUUGUUAUGUUUA